This 112-nucleotide small nuclear RNA is filed under the name Castor canadensis (American beaver). Lineage: Eukaryota; Metazoa; Chordata; Mammalia; Rodentia; Castoridae. The record is from RNAcentral.
GUGUUCACUUUGGAACCACAUAUACUAAAACUGGAACGAUACAGAGAAGAUUAGCAUGGAUGCAUCCCUGUGCAAGGAUGACACUCAAAUUCGUGACGCGUUCCAUUGUUGC